RNAcentral lists this ribosomal RNA (440 nucleotides) under uncultured bacterium. Its description in RNAcentral is "partial 16S ribosomal RNA". It matches the Rfam family "Bacterial small subunit ribosomal RNA", at positions 338 to 795 of the family's 1533-position model. The record is from RNAcentral.
CCUACGGGUGGCAGCAGUGGGGAAUAUUGCACAAUGGGGGAAACCCUGAUGCAGCAACGCCGCGUGAGUGAAGAAGUAUUUCGGUAUGUAAAGCUCUAUCAGCAGGGAAGAAGAUGACGGUACCUGACCAAGAAGCCCCGGCUAACUACGUACCAGCAGCCGCGGUAAUACGUAGGGGGCAAGCGUUAUCCGGAUUUACUGGGUGUUAAGGGGGCGCAGACGGCAGUGCAAGUCCGGAGUGAAACCCCGGGGCCCAACCCCGGAACUGCUGUGGAAACUGGGCGGCUAGAGUACUGGAGGGGCAGGCGGAAGGCGCAGUGUAGCGGGGAAAUGCGUAGAUAUUAGGAGGAACACCAGUGGCGAAGGCGGCAUGCUGGACAGUAACUGACGUUGAGGCUCGAAAGCGUGGGGAGCAAACAGGAUUAGAUACCCGAGUAGUC